RNAcentral lists this ribosomal RNA (507 nucleotides) under Meloe mediterraneus. RNAcentral describes it as "partial large subunit ribosomal RNA". It matches the Rfam family "Bacterial large subunit ribosomal RNA", at positions 1830 to 2597 of the family's 2925-position model. The record is from RNAcentral. Lineage: Eukaryota; Metazoa; Arthropoda; Insecta; Coleoptera; Meloidae.
GUCUUUUUGUUAAUUAUUUAAGGUUUGGCCUGCUCCAUGAUUAAAUUAAAUAGCCGCAGUAUUUUGACUGUGCAAAGGUAGCAUAAUCAUUAGUUUUUUAAUUGAAAGCUGGAAUGAAUGGUCGGAUGAGAAAGAAGCUGUCUCAUUAUAAUUUGGGUUGAAUUUUAUUUUUAAGUUAAAAAGCUUAAAUGUUAUAGAAAGACGAGAAGACCCUAUAGAGUUUAAUAAGUUAGUGGGUUAAUUAUUUUAGGGUUUUAAUAUAGUUAGUUUAUUACUUGUUUGGUUGGGGUGACAUGAGAAUUUAAUUAACUUCUUAUAAUUUUAACAUUAAUUAAUGAAUGGAUGAUCCUGAUAUUUGGAUUUUAAGAGAAAAUUACCUUAGGGAUAACAGCGUAAUCUUUUUGGAGAGUUCUUAUCGAUAAAAGGGAUUGCGACCUCGAUGUUGGAUUAAAGUUAAGUUUUGGUGUAGAAGCUAAAAUUUUAAGUCUGUUCGACUUUUAAAACUUU